AACGACUCUCGGCAACGGAUAUCUCGGCUCUCGCAUCGAUGAAGAACGUAGCGAAAUGCGAUACUUGGUGUGAAUUGCAGAAUCCCGUGAACCAUCGAGUUUUUGAACGCAAGUUGCGCCCAAAGCCAUCCGGUUGAGGGCACGUCUGCCUGGGCGUCACGCAU
RNAcentral lists this ribosomal RNA (164 nucleotides) under Pyrrhopappus grandiflorus. Its description in RNAcentral is "5.8S ribosomal RNA". It matches the Rfam family "5.8S ribosomal RNA". From Rfam's summary of the family: 5.8S ribosomal RNA (5.8S rRNA) is a component of the large subunit of the eukaryotic ribosome. It is transcribed by RNA polymerase I as part of the 45S precursor that also contains 18S and 28S rRNA. The record is from RNAcentral. Lineage: Eukaryota; Viridiplantae; Streptophyta; Magnoliopsida; Asterales; Asteraceae.